GAGGGAGCACGUGCGAAGAACUCAACAGGAGAGCCUCUGCCAAUUUCAACCGUUGGAAGCCUACCCUUCCCGCUGACCCGUCCAUAGCACAACAAACCAUGUACCUUUAGCAGCAGUUAUUGUACCUCGAUGGAUCUCCUCCGGUGCUCCGCCGUCCGUUUCCCUAAUACUUAUCUCCGGCGUUCGCCACUUCGCCCAUGCUUCGCCGCCGUGAGGUCUCUCACAGCUGAUACCUAUCUCGCGCCGCGCCGUGCCACUGCUACUUCACUUGUCUUAACCGAUCCUAAAUGGGUACAGUUUCUGCCUUUUGCAGGUCGAGUUUGAGCCUCCCAUUCCCUGAGCAGAAAGCAA
This 351-nucleotide long non-coding RNA is filed under the name Nicotiana tabacum (common tobacco). RNAcentral's name for it is "long non-coding RNA (NTAB_LNC019616)". The record is from RNAcentral. Lineage: Eukaryota; Viridiplantae; Streptophyta; Magnoliopsida; Solanales; Solanaceae.